RNAcentral lists this ribosomal RNA (432 nucleotides) under uncultured bacterium. Its description in RNAcentral is "partial 16S ribosomal RNA". It matches the Rfam family "Bacterial small subunit ribosomal RNA", at positions 29 to 506 of the family's 1533-position model. The record is from RNAcentral.
AACGAACGCUGGCGGCAUGCCUAACACAUGCCAGUCGAACGAGACCUUCGGGUCUAGUGGCGCACGGGUGCGUAACGCGUGGGAACCUGCCCUUAGGUUCGGAAUAACUCAGAGAAAUUUGAGCUAAUACCGGAUAAUGUCUUCGGACCAAAGAUUUAUCGCCUUUGGAUGGGCCCGCGUAGGAUUAGCUUGUUGGUGGGGUAAUGGCCUACCAAGGCGACGAUCCUUAGCUGGUCUGAGAGGAUGAUCAGCCACACUGGGACUGAGACACGGCCCAGACUCCUACGGGAGGCAGCAGUGGGGAAUAUUGGACAAUGGGCGAAAGCCUGAUCCAGCAAUGCCGCGUGAGUGAUGAAGGCCUUAGGGUUGUAAAGCUCUUUUACCAGGGAUGAUAAUGACAGUACCUGGAGAAUAAGCUCCGGCUAACUCCGU